This is a small nuclear RNA of Bos indicus x Bos taurus (hybrid cattle), 86 nucleotides long. The record is from Ensembl. NCBI's taxonomy places the organism in Eukaryota, Metazoa, Chordata, Mammalia, Artiodactyla, Bovidae.
GUGUUGUACGAAAGGAGAGAAAGUUAAAACUCCCUUUGACAAAACAAUCAGAACUUGAUUAAUAACUGAUAGCCUCCUGAUUUUGU